Molecule: ribosomal RNA, 581 nt
Filed under: uncultured bacterium
Lineage: Bacteria
Description: partial 16S ribosomal RNA
Rfam family: Bacterial small subunit ribosomal RNA
Source: RNAcentral
UGGGGAAUUUUGGACAAUGGGCGAAAGCCUGAUCCAGCAAUGCCGCGUGUGUGAAGAAGGCCUUCGGGUUGUAAAGCACUUUUGUCCGGAAAGAAAUCCUUGGCUCUAAUACAGUCGGGGGAUGACGGUACCGGAAGAAUAAGCACCGGCUAACUACGUGCCAGCAGCCGCGGUAAUACGUAGGGUGCAAGCGUUAAUCGGAAUUACUGGGCGUAAAGCGUGCGCAGGCGGUUUGCUAAGACCGAUGUGAAAUCCCCGGGCUCAACCUGGGAACUGCAUUGGUGACUGGCAGGCUAGAGUAUGGCAGAGGGGGGUAGAAUUCCACGUGUAGCAGUGAAAUGCGUAGAGAUGUGGAGGAAUACCGAUGGCGAAGGCAGCCCCCUGGGCCAAUACUGACGCUCAUGCACGAAAGCGUGGGGAGCAAACAGGAUUAGAUACCCUGGUAGUCCACGCCCUAAACGAUGUCAACUAGUUGUUGGGAUUCAUUCCUUAGUAACGUAGCUAACGCGUGAAGUUGACCGCCUGGGGAGUACGGUCGCAAGAUUAAAACUCAAUGAAUUGACGGGGUCAUAGCUGUUUCC